Molecule: long non-coding RNA, 2088 nt
Organism: Oncorhynchus keta (chum salmon)
Lineage: Eukaryota; Metazoa; Chordata; Actinopteri; Salmoniformes; Salmonidae
Exons: 3
Source: RefSeq, a predicted model, not a curated record
CUGGACUCUCAGGGAAACACUCAUUCCAUGUGUUUCACCUUUUAGGGGUGGAACUUUGGAGACUGUGAGUGGUAACGAACUGUAAGUCGCUCUGCAGAAGAGCGUCUGCUAAAUGACAAAUGUAGUGUAACAAUAAGAAACUAUAAUAAGGGCUUGUGAUUUGUACUGGACAGGUCAGGAAUAAUUAACUAGACUGACUACUGGGUUUGUACUGGACUCGUCAGGAAUAAUUAACUAGACUAACUACUGGGUUUGUACUGGACUCGUCAGGAAUAAUUAACUAGACUAACUACUGGGUUUGUACUGGACUCGUCAGGAAUAAUUAACUAGACUAACUACUGGGUUUGUACUGGACUCGUCAGGAAUAAUUAACUAGACUAACUACUGGGUUUGUACUGGACUCGUCAGGAAUAAUUAACUAGACUAACUACUGGGUUUGUACUGGACUCGUCAGGAAUAAUUAACUAGACUAACUACUGGGUUUGUACUGGACUCGUCAGGAAUAAUUAACUAGACUAACUACUGGGUUUGUACUGGACUCGUCAGGAAUAAUUAACUAGACUAACUACUGGGUUUGUACUGGACAGGUCAGGAAUAAUUAACUAAACUAACUACUGGGUUUGUACUGGACUCGUCAGGAAUAAUUAACUAGACUAACUACUGGGUUUGUACUGGACUCGUCAGGAAUAAUUAACUAGACUAACUACUGGGUUUGUACUGGACAGGUCAGGAAUAAUUAACUAGACUAACUACUAGGUUUGUACUGGACUCGUCAGGAAUAAUUAACUAGACUAACUACUGGGUUUGUACUGGACUCGUCAGGAAUAAUUAACUAGACUAACUACUGGGUUUGUACUGGACUCGUCAGGAAUAAUUAACUAGACUAACUACUGGGUUUGUACUGGACAGGUCAGGAAUAAUUAACUAAACUAACUACUGGGUUUGUACUGGACUCGUCAGGAAUAAUUAACUAGACUAACUACUGGGUUUGUACUGGACUCGUCAGGAAUAAUUAACUAGACUAACUACUGGGUUUGUACUGGACAGGUCAGGAAUAAUUAACUAGACUAACUACUAGGUUUGUACUGGACUCGUCAGGAAUAAUUAACUAGACUAACUACUGGGUUUGUACUGGACUCGUCAGGAAUAAUUAACUAGACUAACUACUGGGUUUGUACUGGACUCGUCAGGAAUAAUUAACUAGACUAACUACUGGGUUUGUACUGGACUCGUCAGGAAUAAUUAACUAGACUAACUACUGGCUUUGUACUGGACAGGUCAGGAAUAAUUAACUAGACUAACUACUGGGUUUGUACUGGACAGGUCAGGAAUAAUUAACUAGACUAACUACUGGGUUUGUACUGGACAGGUCAGGAAUAAUUAACUAGACUAACUACUGGGUUUGUACUGGACUCGUCAGGAAUAAUUAACUAGACUAACUACUGGGUUUGUACUGGACUCGUCAGGAAUAAUUAACUAGACUAACUACUGGGUUUGUACUGGACUCGUCAGGAAUAAUUAACUAGACUAACUACUGGGUUUGUACUGGACUCGUCAGGAAUAAUUAACUAGACUAACUACUGGGUUUGUACUGGACUCGUCAGGAAUAAUUAACUAGACUAACUACUGGGUUUGUACUGGACAGGUCAGGAAUAAUUAACUAGACUAACUACUGGGUUUGUACUGGACUCGUCAGGAAUAAUUAACUAGACUAACUACUGGGUUUGUACUGGACUCGUCAGGAAUAAUUAACUAGACUAACUACUGGGUUUGUACUGGACUCGUCAGGAAUAAUUAACUAGACUAACUACUGGGUUUGUACUGGACAGGUCAGGAAUAAUUAACUAGACUAACUACUGGGUUUGUACUGGACAGGUCAGGAAUAAUUAACUAGACUAACUACUGGGUUUGUACUGGACAGGUCAGGAAUAAUUAACUAGACUAACUACUGGGUUUGUACUGGACAGGUCAGGAAUAAUUAACUAGACUAACUACUGGGUUUGUACUGGACAGGUCAGGAAUAAUUAACUAGACUAACUACUAGGUUUGUACUGGACAGGUCAGGAAUAACUAACUAGAGACUGACUA